RNAcentral lists this ribosomal RNA (429 nucleotides) under uncultured prokaryote. Its description in RNAcentral is "bacterial SSU rRNA". It matches the Rfam family "Bacterial small subunit ribosomal RNA", at positions 355 to 776 of the family's 1533-position model. The record is from RNAcentral. RNAcentral also lists the same sequence under 1 other name.
UGGGGAAUCUUCCGCAAUGGACGAAAGUCUGACGGAGCAACGCCGCGUGAGUGACGAAGGCCUUCGGGUUGUAAAGCUCUGUUAUCGGGGAAGAACACUUUCUAUGUGAACAAUGUAGGAAGUUGACGGUACCCGAGGAGGAAGCCACGGCUAACUACGUGCCAGCAGCCGCGGUAAUACGUAGGUGGCGAGCGUUGUCCGGAAUUAUUGGGCGUAAAGCGCGCGUAGGCGGGAUAUUAAGUCUCUUGUCAAAGUGCGGGGCUCAACCCCGUGAUGCGGGAGAAACUAAUAUUCUUGAGUGCCGGAGAGGAAAGCGGAAUUCCCAGUGUAGCGGUGAAAUGCGUAGAUAUUGGGAGGAACACCAGUGGCGAAGGCGGCUUUCUGGACGGUGUCUGACGCUGAGGCGCGAAAGCCAGGGGAGCGAACGGG